GAUGAACGCUGGCGGCGUGCUUAACACAUGCGAGUCGAACGAUGAAGCCCAGCUGGCUGGGUGGAUUAGUGGCGAACGGGUGAGUAACACGUGAGUAACCUGCCCUUAACUCUGGGAUAAGCCUGGGAAACUGGGUCUAAUACCGGAUAGGAGCGUCCACCGCAUGGUGGGUGUUGGAAAGAUUUAUCGGUUUUGGAUGGACUCGCGGCCUAUCAGCUUGUUGGUGAGGUAAUGGCUCACCAAGGCGACGACGGGUAGCCGGCCUGAGAGGGUGACCGGCCACACUGGGACUGAGACACGGCCCAGACUCCUACGGGAGGCAGCAGUGGGGAAUAUUGCACAAUGGGCGCAAGCCUGAUGCAGCGACGCCGCGUGAGGGAUGACGGCCUUCGGGUUGUAAACCUCUUUCAGUAGGGAAGAAGCGAAAGUGACGGUACCUGCAGAAGAAGCACCGGCUAACUACGUG
RNAcentral lists this ribosomal RNA (466 nucleotides) under uncultured bacterium. Its description in RNAcentral is "partial 16S ribosomal RNA". It matches the Rfam family "Bacterial small subunit ribosomal RNA", at positions 28 to 507 of the family's 1533-position model. The record is from RNAcentral.